GCCGUCGUUUCGGUCGGAACACUAUGUAGUACGACGGUCUCCACCGUGAGACCCGGUCCAAACCCGAAUAAAACACCCCACUCCAGUCCCUCUCCUGUGGUAGGCUUCCCUUCUUUUAGAGAUUUCUUUCUCAUCUCGUCAAGGAUAAACAACACACAAGCACUCGACAUGUUUCCAUACUCGCUAAGAACAUGUCUGGUUGCCCUCAUUUUUUCAGGUUUUAGACUCAGUUUCGCUUCAACUUGAUCGAGAAUUGCUGGGCCACCAGGAUGAGCUAUCCAGAAAAUGGAGUUCCAAUCGUUAAUACCAAUUGGAGU
RNAcentral lists this long non-coding RNA (317 nucleotides) under Manihot esculenta (cassava). RNAcentral's name for it is "long non-coding RNA (MESC_LNC002480)". Lineage: Eukaryota; Viridiplantae; Streptophyta; Magnoliopsida; Malpighiales; Euphorbiaceae. The record is from RNAcentral.